GAAUUCACUCUCACUCAGCCCCCUUCUCCUCCAUCGAACCCACCCUCACUGGCAACCCAUCUUCAUCGACGACUCACUCCCGACGACGGCAAGAAGCUCCUGAAACCCAACCGACCGACGUCUUUCCUUCUUUCUCCUUACACAGGCAAGCUCUCUCUCUCUCUCUCUCUCUCUCUCUCUCUCUCUCUCUCUCUCUCUGUGUGUGUGUGUGUUUCUUGAUUGUGUUUUUGUUUGUUUGGGGGGAUAAGAUUGGAAUAUCUUAUUCAAGUAAUUUUGAUUCAGUUUUUUGUGGGUUUUGACUAGAGUCUUUUUGAGGGUUUUUUGUGGCAUAAAUCAUGGGUUUGUUUUGAAUAUUUGGUUUGGGGUUUGGGAAGCUGUUUAUAAUUUUUUCUAUUUACAAUUUGUUCUGAUUCAUUUCUUUCAUUUUUUUGAGAGUUUAUUUUCCCCACCUCUGUUUCUUAAUAAUUUUUUUAUUUUUUUUUUACAUUGCUUGCUGGAGGAAGAUGCAUUUUCAGAGAUUGGUGUGUUGGUGGUGGGUGAUUUCUUUCAACAAGUGAUUGUCAGAUUAAAAAAUGGCUUCUUCUUCUACAAACAAUAGCAACAUAAGAUUAAAACCAAGACUGUGCAAUUGUGGAAGAACAACUGCCAUAUAUAUUAGUAACACUGGCCAUUGCAAUUAUUUUAAGUUCGUAGAUGAAGAUGAUGAAGAAGUUACGUCCACAAUCCGUUCCAACACUAGAGCUUGUGAUGCUAUAACAGUAGAAGAAUUUAACGAUCUAAGGGCGAAGCUUCAUGGAAUAGAAAAUAAAAAUGAUGAAUAUCGUCAAAGACUUGAAAGGAUGGAAAAUGAAAAUGAUAACUAUGGUCGAAGGCUUAAAAGGAUUGAAAAUCAUUUGAAGGCAAUGGUGUAUGUCAUUGUAAUUUUUAUGAUUUUGUACUUUAUGUUAGAAUUUAUGAUUUUUAUAGGCUUAUUUUAGGUCAACUUUGAGCUCAAAUUUGAGUGGGUCCCACACGUUUUUUAAGGUGGGUCCAAAUAGGUGACUUGUUCUUUGCCGCAUGGCAAGUCACACGGUGAAAACGAUUCGUCAAAACCAUUUAUGAGUGAAUGGAAAAUUGACAUCGUUCUCGGGUUCGUGAAAUAAACAAUUAAAGAAGUAAAAUGUGGAUUGCUUUGUAAUGGUAGUUCUACAUUGAAAACUUAAGAGAACUUAUGUGUAUAUAUAAGUUCUAGGUGGCAACACUAGGGUUAAGUCCCAAGGGGCACCCAAAGUUUGUAGAAGGGAGGA
Molecule: long non-coding RNA, 1286 nt
Organism: Camellia sinensis
Lineage: Eukaryota; Viridiplantae; Streptophyta; Magnoliopsida; Ericales; Theaceae
Source: RefSeq, a predicted model, not a curated record